CCUACGGGGGGCAGCAGUGGGGAAUAUUGCGCAAUGGGCGAAAGCCUGACGCAGCGACGCCGCGUGAGGGAUGAAGGUCUUCGGAUCGUAAACCUCUGUCAGCAGGGAAGAACGGUCACUGUGCUAAUCAGCAGUGAAUUGACGGUACCUGCAAAGGAAGCACCGGCUAACUCCGUGCCAGCAGCCGCGGUAAUACGGAGGGUGCGAGCGUUAAUCGGAAUUACUGGGCGUAAAGCGCUCGUAGGCGGUAUGUCAAGUCAAGGGUGAAAUCCCCGCGCUCAACGUGGGAACUGCCUUUGAAACUGGCAAACUGGAGUGUGUGAGAGGAUAGUGGAAUUCCAGGUAUAGGAGUGAAAGCCGUAGAUAUCUGGAGGAACAUCAGUGGCGAAGGCGACUAUCUGGCACAUAACUGACGCUGAGGAGCGAAAGCGUGGGUAGCAAACAGGAUUAGAUACCCCAGUAGUC
RNAcentral lists this ribosomal RNA (465 nucleotides) under uncultured bacterium. Its description in RNAcentral is "partial 16S ribosomal RNA". It matches the Rfam family "Bacterial small subunit ribosomal RNA", at positions 338 to 795 of the family's 1533-position model. The record is from RNAcentral.